CCUACGGGUGGCAGCAGUGGGGAAUAUUGGGCAAUGGGCGCAAGCCUGACCCAGCAACGCCGCGUGAAGGAAGAAGGCUUUCUGGUUGUAAACUUCUUUUGUCAGGGAGGUGUAGCAGACUGUACCUGUCGAAUUAGCCACGGCUAACUACGUGCCAGCAGCCGCGGUAAUACGGAGGGCGCAAGCGGUGUCCGGAUUUAAGGGGUGUAACGGGUGUGUGGCCGGGUUGACAAGUCAGAUGUGAAAUCCUGGGGCUUAACUGCAGAACUGCAUUUAAAACUGUUGAUCUUGAGUACUGGAGAGGUAGACGGAAUGGAUGGUGUAGCGGUGAAAUGCGUAGAGAUUAGAGAGAACACCAAUGGCGAAGGCAGUCUGCUGGUCAGCAACUGACGGUGAGGCGCGAAAGCGUGGGGAGCAAACAGGAUUAGAUACCCUGGUAGUC
This 442-nucleotide ribosomal RNA is filed under the name uncultured bacterium. RNAcentral describes it as "partial 16S ribosomal RNA". It matches the Rfam family "Bacterial small subunit ribosomal RNA", at positions 338 to 795 of the family's 1533-position model. The record is from RNAcentral.